CCUACGGGCGGCUGCAGUGAGGAAUAUUGGUCAAUGGACGCAAGCCUGAACCAGCCAUGCCGCGUGCAGGAAGACGGCCCUAUGAGUUGUAAACUGCUUUUGUACGAGGGUAAACGCAGAUACGCGUAUCUGUCUGAAAGUACCGUACGAAUAAGGAUCGGCUAACUCCGUGCCAGCAGCCGCGGUAAUACGGAGGAUUCGAGCGUUAUCCGGAUUUAUUGGGUUUAAAGGGUGCGUAGGCGGUCGGAUAAGUUAGAGGUGAAAUCCCGAGGCUCAACUUCGGAAUUGCAUCUGAUACUGUUCGGCUAGAGAGUAGUAGAGGUAGGCGGAAUGUAUGGUGUAGCGGUGAAAUGCUUAGAGAUCAUGCAGAACACCGAUUGCGAAGGCAGCUUACCAAGCUGCAACUGACGUUGAUGCACGAAAGCGUGGGGAGCAAACAGGAUUAGAUACCCGGGUAGUC
This 460-nucleotide ribosomal RNA is filed under the name uncultured bacterium. RNAcentral describes it as "partial 16S ribosomal RNA". It matches the Rfam family "Bacterial small subunit ribosomal RNA", at positions 338 to 795 of the family's 1533-position model. The record is from RNAcentral.